Long non-coding RNA from Perca fluviatilis (European perch), 480 nucleotides. RefSeq lists it as uncharacterized. Lineage: Eukaryota; Metazoa; Chordata; Actinopteri; Perciformes; Percidae. The transcript is spliced from 4 exons. The record is from RefSeq and is a predicted model, not a curated record.
CAGGAGGCCUGAGGCAGAGGUUGGGGACUCUUUUAGCCUGAACGCUCUGGAGAGGAGACACAACAGAGGGCUGGCCUCCAAUCAACACCAGCUGCAACCUUCACUAAUUGAUGGUUAACCCUGCAGCCCUGAUGCAUUGCAAGACUUGUUGCAGAUGAGACCUGUGUUCCCCCAAGGACUGAAAAUGACCACCUUUUUGGAAAAGCUCAGCACCAACUUGACUACUUGCUUCGUUGAGCUGUCAGAGGAUAUAUGAGACGGGAUGAAUUUCAAGAAGCAGCUGCAGGUGGUGUUUACUAACCAGCCGAUCAACUUCAGCAGGGUGGACAACAUUGUGAGGUGGUCGCAUCUCUGCAGUGGAGCGCGACUGGAGAUUGACUCUGUAGCGCAUCAUAAAUGAAGAUAAUGGACAGGCCUCCAAUCAACACCAGCUGCAACCUUCACGAAACGGAUUAUUUUCCAAUAAACGUUAAAAACUGU